This 1767-nucleotide long non-coding RNA is filed under the name Anas platyrhynchos platyrhynchos (common mallard). Its description in RNAcentral is "lncRNA (ENSAPLG00000025281.1)". Lineage: Eukaryota; Metazoa; Chordata; Aves; Anseriformes; Anatidae. The record is from RNAcentral.
CAGAAACCUAUCAAACCUUGUUGUUUAUAACAGGAACCAGCUAAACUUUGUUACAGAGGGUUGAAUGGCUUGUAACGUCGGAUGAAGGCAGAGAGAGAGUAAGACAAAGAAGAGCAGAGGGAAGGUCCAGAUCACCAGGCUGGGCUCCAGCGACAUCUCUGGUCUGGUUCUGGAUGUGUCUGCAAUGGUGGAAUGGCCGAAGCCAUCAGAGACCAAGUCACAGCCCCAAAAAUGGGUCAAAAAGGGACCUGGGCGCCCCGUCGGGCAGGAAAGGGCAGGCGGCGUCCGCGGGGCGGGCUGCAGGGAAAGGGCAACCUCAGCCCACCCACACUUCCCAGCACCGACGGGGCGGGCUUUCCCCCGCCUCAGCAAGUGCUGCGAGCCCAGCGCCGCCCCGAGGGGCCGGCGUGGGGCCGAGGAGGAGGAGGAGGAGGAAGAGGAGGAGGAGGAGGAGAAGGAGGAGGAGGAGGAGGAGGAGAAGGAGGAGGAGGAGGAGGAGGAAGGGGGCACCGCCCGUCCAGCCGCCCCCCGACGGCAGGGAGGGGCGUGGCUAUGCAAAUCGACCCCCUCAAGCAGCCAAUGGGAGGGCGAGGCGAGCCGCGGGGGCGUGGCUCCUCGCCGGGACUAGCGCUGGGCUCGACGGCGCGGCCGCUCCGACGGCACCGGCAGCGCGGGGAGCGAGGCGGGCGAAUUGGAUUCUACCAGAUCACAGAGAUCGUGGGUGGUGCUGCAUGUAUCUUUGGAGAUGAACUUCUCACAGGUGGCCUAGAUCCAUGCGUUCACUUGCUGAUGUCCAGCUGGUUACACCAGGAGCUCACUUGGCGAAGUGCCUGAGACUCGCAGCAGCGACUGAAGUCAGAAUUUACAAGAUUGGGCUGUUAGGACUGCCUUCCCCAGAGGACUCUGAGGAGUUUAUGGAGCAUUCCAGGGAUUAUCACAGGAGAAAACACUGAGGAAAUGAAAAGUAGUAACACAGCAAAUGAGAUAUCUAACCGUGAACUGAAUUAUAUUAAAUUUUAUGUUGUACAACAUUAUUUUUUUCAGCACAUACAGAUUGUAAGCAGAGACUUGGUGGAAGUGAUGGGAUGCAGGACAGUGUUUAAUUGCAUGAUCAUCCUGUGCAUAGGAGACAUUACUGUGCAAUCUGAGUCUACAUUUGACAGCUCCUUACUCUUAUUUUAAUGUUUGACUUUUUAUUCUUCCAUGUUUUGUUUUUUUUUUUUUAAAAAAAAAAAACAAAAAACUUUUUUUUUAUAGAGAUGCUGCAGAAUUAGUAUAUGCAUGAACUUAUUACAACAUUAGUAAUAUACAGUGUGAAGAUUUCUGUUUCUGCUUCUCCCUUUCUUUCUACAUUAUUUUAUGUAACACCUGACAUUAGUUGUGGGUGAGAAAGGCAAACUAUAAGAUGCCCUUUUGAGGGUAGGGGAAGGAAGGGUAGACCUUUUCCUAUAAAGUUAUGAGCUUAUUAUGCAAGAGUUCCUACUCAGUGUGGUUUUGUGUUUAAAUGUAAACUUUCCCCAGUCUUGGCCUAGAACUCUUGCUUCAGUUUUGAGUAGAAAAAAUGGUUAUUGUACUAAAUUCCUGAUGUAAGUGUAUGCGUACUUGAGUGCAUCUCUGAAUUAAAAUUGUUGGAAAUUUUUGGGUGCCUGAAGUCUGGAAGAAUACAAUAUAGUACCUUGUGGAUUUAACCAUUCUUAGGGUAUUUUUCCAGAGAAGUGCACCAGCUUUGUUAAGCACAUAAAAUAAAUUGUAAUUAUUGUUGAACCA